UCUAAAAUAAUAAGCUUAAACCCCCCACCACACACACACACACACCUCCCCUAAACAAAAACUUAAAUCAAACCCAUCAACACAACCCACAACCAACUUACUUAUCUCUUUCCCUUUCUCUCUCUUAAAAAAAUUGUAUCUGAUUCUUGAGUCUUUUUUUUUUUUUUAAAAAAAAUUCUUGCAUUCCCGGUUUUCGCACUGUUCGAUUUAACAUUUUUAUCCCCUUGAUUCUUUUCUGCAUGUCUUUGUAUCUAAAUUUUAAUCUGAGAUUUUAAUUUUCUUUUUUUGUUGUUGAAUUUUCACAAAUACCCAAAAAAGAAAAACCCUAAAGAUGUGAAAAUAAAAAACCUGGAAACUAGUACAGUUGCAGAUCUGAAAGAAAGACAGGAAACCCUUGUUUUUGCAAAAAUUCAGUGGGUACUGAAAUAUUACCCAAUUUGGUAAGUCGUUUUUUUACAAAUGGGUGGGAGGAGUGAGAAAUUGACAGAAGAGAGUGAGCACAGAAAGGCAGAAAUGGUAUACAUAGCAAACCCAAACCAACACCAGAAAUCAUACAUUUAAUUUCCAAAGAUCGAAACAUAGAGUUGGGGUUGAAGAUUAUUGGUAUACUAUUCCUUUUUUGUGCUCACUGCUCUUUCUGUCAGCUUCCCUUCCAACUCCAACCCCACCCGAACCCCUAUCCAUUAUAUGUUCAUACGCAACUUAACCCUUCUCAUCAUUAUUAUCGAUUACGAGGGUGAGGGAUAGCUCAAGUGGUUAGAGCUUCAUCCUAAAAAUUACUAUUGAUUACUAAUAACACUAUAUCGGUAUGUUUUUCUUUUCCCUUAUUUUUUAUUUUGAUAAAAUAGUUUGUUGUUUUAGUAAAACUAUUUUUGCAAAUUCCAAUAUAUAGCGUGACUUUUGAGUGGGAUUUUUAAACUAAUCACUUUAUACAGUACAGGACCAUGCUAAUCAGCUUCAUAUAGCCUACCUAAUUCACAUUAUUAGGUUACCUUGUUUUUUUUUUUUUCUUUGCUUGAUUCGUUUCUAUGUUGUUGGUUGCGCAUGGAUCAUAUCGUUUCUAUGGUCCCCGUACAUUGGUUCACGGCCGUGCCCGUGCCCGUGUUGGUACCCGUCGAUUCGUCUGAGUCCAUCCAUGGCUUCUUUUGAGGACAAGCUGACAUGAUCAUCUGUCUCUCACUUCCAACUUGUUUGUUGCAACAAUUUGUUCGUAUUUGCAGCUCACCAUUUAUAUGGAACACCAGAAAUUGAAUUAAUCAUACUCGAAUCGAAUCAUUGACAAUGUACUUGUCAAAGACGAUUCCUCAGCUCCUUUCUUUUGCUGAUGUGAAAACAAAUGAAGGUGAACAUCAUUUUGAGAACACUUGAAUAUAAUUAUGUGGCCCUUAAGAGUGCUAAUUGCUUCAGCAGGUACGCUUGUACUAUUGCACCAUCUAUGUUGCUUGGACUCAGGUACCCAUGUCCGACACAGGUAUGUGUCCAAGCGUGCGACUCAGCUAUUUUGUGAAAAAAUUCUAUGAUUUUGAACUAAAAGUGAAGUGUCCGAGUGUCAUACCCAUGUCCGAGUAUCGAGGAUCCGACACAGCAAGGGUGUUAGAUAUAUAUGCCUCCAGAAAGUGAGAAAAGGUUUUGACAUGGUAUUAUUAUUCUUCACAAUUGCCUUGUUAGUUGUUAAAUGAGCUUAUGCAAGCUAGAGACUCCUGAUUACAGGUCUAAGUCUCCUUACCUCCGGAUAAAUAUUACCUAGGAGUUUUGGUUCUUUUUACAGGCUGCUUAACUUAUUGUUGCUUAACCUAUUUGGUCCUUUUUGCAGGUUUGCUUAACCAAAUAGGAGGUUUUCAUUCUCCCAAAGUUCUUGUUUGGUAUAUUCUCUGUUGCUAUGAAAGAGUGUGUUAUGAUUUUAAAAUUACUCGAAACAGAAUCAUGCACAAUGAAAUAGAUCCAUGGUAAGACUUACUGUGUAUUUUAAAUUACUCGAACCACAAACACAAUGACCAUUGAGACAAAGCCUUAUGUUUUUAUAACCUGCCUAAAUAUUGGGAUUGCAACAGAUCUUAUGGUAGAGAUGGCUCUUGGAGCUCAAGAUAAAUUAGUUGAUUAUAUGAUAAUUAGCUAGGAAAACACACUAUUAGAUUCCAUUAAGUAAAAAAGCAUCAGUUCCUUAAACUAAUAGCUCCAUUAAAAUCGGUAAGAUGCCCCGUUAAAAUUGAUUGCCCUAGCCUACCAAAUAGACAUACUCUAGUUGGAUAUUCUCCCGGAUAUUGUUACGAUUGAAGGGAUAAGAUAAGGUUUUUUUUUAUUUAAUUUUUUAUUUGGUCAAAAUUUGAUUGUGGAAGUUGGUCUCCUAUGUUUCUUGAGACGUAGUUGUAUAUUGUUUUCUUGAUUUUGAUGGUUAAUAAUCUUCUCUACCUUGAUCCAAAAAAAAAAAAAAAAAAGAAAAUUAGUGGGCAUGCAACAUUGCCAACUAACCAACCUAAAUAUUUAUUAAUAAAAAAGUGGGCCCUUGUAUUUUUUUUUUGUUUCUGAAAAAGGGCCCUUGUAUUUUUUAAUACUGCUUUUUUUAAUUUAAUUUAUUUAUUCUAUUUGUUGUGUGUGGUGACUUUUAUUUGUGAAGAUAUGGGACAUUAAAACAUUACACCACUAGCUGGUGUUAGGUCGUUACCUUCUACUAGUGGGGUUAAGUCAUCUUCUUGGCUGGGUUGGGUGUUGUUUCAAGUAACAUAUAUGGCGUAAAGAGAGCCGUGCUUCGAUCGUGCCAUUUUAAUUUGGUCUUUUAGUGUGUGCAACACCAUAUCUUUUCGUAAGCAGUGGAUACUGGAUAAGGCACUAUAGCUAUUUCUUUUAGUGGUCGACUUGUCAAUAUUGCCCAUUCUAAUGAUCACAAUUGGAAUGUUGUUUUUCUUUAGCUAGGGUGAUUUGUGACUUCUUAAAUUUGCCUGGCCUAUUGUAAGUUUACUAGAAGUAUGUAUCUGACUGUUUCUUUUAGUUGUUGAUAUCCCCACUAGAGCGAGAAAUCAUUUGUUUUUCUAACUUGAAUUAGCCACUUUUGUAUCUUGUCUUCUAACUCUCAAGCUGGGGCUACCGAGUAGAGGAUAAACCGAUAAAGGUCUAGCACUUAGUUGCUAAAUAUGUGGUGGAACUUCAAAAUGUAGCUCUAUUAAGUGUGUCUUCUUCUUCUUCUUCUUCUUCUUCAUUCAUCUAUGACUCCAACAUUCAGAUAGAAAACACAUAUUAGAUUGAGCUCAGCUCGUAUUCUCUUAUAGUACAAGGCAAUUAGAAACUGUCUAGAUUUGAUCUGUAUAUUAUAUUUGAAUUCUGCUCAUAUAUAAGUAAUACAAUGUUCUAUUUGAAUUCUGCCCAUAAUUAUUCUUUAUGUUGAGCUAAAUUUUUUUUCAUAGUAAUGUCUUUUGCUUUACUGUGUGUGAUUCUUAUAUAAAAUAAGAGUUUGUUUUGUAUAUAUUGAACUUACCUUUACAACUCCAAUAACUUGUAUUGACAUUAGACACACUUUUUCUUCAAACAAUUUGAGACUUAAAGGAGGGGUACACCGUACACAUACCUGUGAGAACCAGAUAUCAGAUGGAUUUUGUUGUUUUCAUCAGUGUACUUGAAGAAAUUGUGUGUGCCAGAAACGGUCAAGUUUCUUUCUUUUUCACUCAUUUUUUUCUCUCCUUGUUUUCUGGAAGUGAAGUAAAACUUAAUUUGGUUUGAAUUAUCUUCAGUUCUAUCUUUUUAUUUUUUGGGAGUAUAAAAUGUAGCUAGUAUUCUGCUAUCUCUACUAUUUGUUUUACAGUCUGUUACUUUACUCUAUUAUAAAAUGUGUCAUGGAACA
Long non-coding RNA from Chenopodium quinoa (quinoa), 3832 nucleotides. RefSeq lists it as uncharacterized. NCBI's taxonomy places the organism in Eukaryota, Viridiplantae, Streptophyta, Magnoliopsida, Caryophyllales, Amaranthaceae. The transcript has 4 exons. The record is from RefSeq and is a predicted model, not a curated record.